This 377-nucleotide ribosomal RNA is filed under the name uncultured bacterium. Its description in RNAcentral is "bacterial SSU rRNA". It matches the Rfam family "Bacterial small subunit ribosomal RNA", at positions 47 to 420 of the family's 1533-position model. The record is from RNAcentral.
CCUAACACAUGCAAGUCGAACGGUAACAGGAAGAAGCUUGCUUCUUUGCUGACGAGUGGCGGACGGGUGAGUAAUGUCUGGGAAACUGCCUGAUGGAGGGGGAUAACUACUGGAAACGGUAGCUAAUACCGCAUAACGUCGCAAAACCAAAGAGGGGGACCUUCGGGCCUCUUGCCAUCGGAUGUGCCCAGAUGGGAUUAGCUAGUUGGUGGGGUAACGGCUCACCAAGGCGACGAUCCCUAGCUGGUCUGAGAGGAUGACCAGCCACACUGGAACUGAGACACGGUCCAGACUCCUACGGGAGGCAGCAGUGGGGAAUAUUGCACAAUGGGCGCAAGCCUGAUGCAGCCAUGCCGCGUGUAUGAAGAAGGCCUUCG